GUGUUGAUGGCUGGACAUUGCAUCAUCCUACAAAACUUGGAGGCCAGUGAGGACAAAAAUAAAAAGUUACAAGACUUUUAAGACUGUGGAUUUUUGGGUUAUCUUUGGCGCCCCCUAGAACGUAAACCGUGGGGUGCAGCGUCAUGAUUUGUACAACUUUUAAUGGCCAUGGGGUGUAGAUUGGCCUGAGCAAAUGUGGUGCCGGUGGAACGAAAGCCUUCGGAGGAGUUAGCGAAAUUCCAAUGUGUGCGGAUCGGCAAAAAAUGCGAAAUAACCCUUUAACCGUACAUUUGACAGAUACGCCCGCACUGACUUUUUUUUAGAUCUUAUUGAGAUACAUGUGUGUGUCAAAUUUUGUGUCAAUAUGACAAAGCGUACAGGCGUGACAGUCAAUAGUGUAAAUUUUCACCUUAGGGGGCGCUAUGGAGCCAUUUUGCAUUUUAUUGUUUGGGCGACUUCAGAAUAUCGAAUUUUUCACCAGGCCCGGUCGUCCUGCCAAAUUUCAUGAGUUUUCGCCAGUGGAAAGUGGGCCAUUUUCCCCUUCAAAGGGGAGGAAAAAUAAGAAGAACUAGGGCCCCGUUGGGGCACUGGCGGGCCCGAGCCGUGUCGCGCCGCCCCCAGCGCGACCGCCUACCCCUCCCGAUCGCGUCACACUCAAGGUCCAAAGAUGGUGUGCGCACUUGUCUGUGGUCAUUUACCAUUAUAAUGAAUGGGAGGCGCAGUUUCUACCAAAACGCUCGCUGCAGACAAACUCCAUGUCCUAUUUGAAAAAAGUCUGGAACAUGAGUGAGGGCACAAACACAGCUAAGAUAUAUCCAAAUGGCAAGUUGCUCCUCCUUUCGGUUUUGCCGAGAGAGCGAUGCGUUUAAGCCAUUAAGCGAUGGGCAGGAACAACUUGACCUUUUCUCCGGCCAUGGGGGGGGCGCUCUUUUGGAGAGUAAAAAUUCCUUCACAACUGUGUUGAUGGCUGAACAUUGCAUUAUCCUAGAAAACUUGGAGGCCAGUGAGGACAAAAAUAAAAAGUUAUAAAACUUUUGAAAAUGUGGAUUUUUGGGUUAUCUUUGGCGCCCCCUAGAACCUUAACCGUGGGGUGCAGCGUCAUGAUUUUUACAACUUUGAAUGGCCAUGGGGUUUAGAUUUGCCUGAGCAAAUUUGGUGUCAGUGGGACGAAAGCUUUAGGAGGAGUUAGCGAAAUUCCAAUGUGUGCGAAUCGGCAAAAAAUGCGAAAUAGCCCUUUAACCGUACUUUUUACAGAUACGCACACAUUGACUUUUUCGUAGAUCUUAUUGAGAUACACGUGAUUAUCAAAUUUUGUGUCAAUAUGACAAAGCGUACAGGCGUGACACUCAACAAUGUGUAUUUUCGCCUUAGGGGACAAGAAAAAAUGGACUUUUUUCUCCUGCCAUGGGGGGGCGCUCUUUUGGCGAGUAAAAAUUCCUUCACAAAUGUGUUAAUUGCUGGACAUUGCAUCAUCCUAGAGAACUUGGAGGCCAGUGAGGACAAAAAUAAAAAGUUAUAAGACUUUUAAGACUGUGGAUUUUUGGGUUAUCUUUGGCGCCCCCUAGAACCUAAACCGUGGGGUGCAGCGUCAUGAUUUGUACAACUUUUAAUGGCCAUGGGGUGUAGAUUGGCCUGAGCAAAUGUGGUGCCGGUGGAACGAAAGCCUUCGG
Non-coding RNA from Xyrichtys novacula (pearly razorfish), 1670 nucleotides. The record is from the annotation of a GenBank genome assembly. Lineage: Eukaryota; Metazoa; Chordata; Actinopteri; Labriformes; Labridae.